UCCAUAUUCUUCUAUUUUUACCAGAAAUUUAAUCUACUUAUAUCUCAACAGUGGUAUUAGAGCUGUUGUUCUUGUGGGCUGUUAAGCAAGCUUGUUAUUUAAUUAAACUUCAUCAAGUUGAUAUAAAAUGGCCAUGAAUGUGAAUUUACCUGUAUCACCAGUGUUCACACGAGAAAGUUAUGAUUAUUGGGCUGUGAGGAUAGAAUCAUAUUUACUUGCUUAUGACUUGUGGGCUGCUAUAGAGGAGAAUUAUUUUUGGUUGUCUUUAGCUGAAAAUCCUACAUUAACACAAAUUCGUCAGGAUACUGAGGGCUCCAUGAAGAAUUUCAAAACUCUAUCUAUUAUUCAUUCAGCUGUAUCAUAAAAUAUUUUUUCAAGACUGGUUGGUUUUAGAACAGCAAAGAAAGCUUAGGAUUAUUUGAAAGAGGAGUAUGCUAAAAGUGAAAAGGUGAGGGGUGUAAAAUUAUUAACAUUAAAGAGGGAGUUUGAGUUGAUGAAGGUGCAAGAAGGUGAAAGUGUUAAAGACUACUCUACCAAGGUUAUGAAUCUGGUAAAUUAAAUCAAAUUGCUUGAAGGGGACUUCAAGGAUCAAAAAGUAGUAGAAAAGAUGAUGAUUAGCCUUCCUGAGAGGUUUGAAUCAAAACUCUCAGUGAUUAAAGAAACAUGUGAUCUUGAGAAGCUUACUGUUGCUGAACUUCUCAGUAAGCUACAGAUUCAUGAGUAGAGGAUUUCAAUAAGAAAUAAUGAGCUCACUGAAAAUGCUUUUCAAGUAAGACAGAGGUACAAGUUUGGGACCUCAACUUCAAAAGAUAAAGGUCAAUCAUUAACAAAUAAAAGAAAACAACCACAGAGUUCAAAAAAUUCAUCAGAAAAAGGAAAGUAUCCUCCUUAUGGAGGUUGUAGUAAAUCCAAUUAUCUCGAGAGUAAGUGCUAGAAGCAUGUACAAUGCAAGAUUUGCAAAAAGUAUAGUCAUUCAGAGAAGGUAUGUUGGAAGAAAAAAAAUCAAGCAUCACAGCAAAAGAAUCAGACUCCACAACAACAACAACCACUUCAGUAACAAGAAACCUAUUUUGCUGAGAACCAUGAACAGCAAGAAAGUCAUCUUUUCAUGAUGACUGAGACAUCUUGUGUGAGUGAAAGUGAUUUCUAGUAUGUAGACAGUGGGUGCACAAGCCAUAUGGCCAAGGAUCGUAUGUUAUUCAACAACUUGGAUGUUAAUUGCAGAAUUAAAGUGAAACUUGACAACAUGACAGUUGUGGAAGCUCAAGGAAAAAACUCAAUAUAAGUUCAAACUUAGCAAGUUAUUAAACUCAUAACUGAUGUGCUCUUUAUUCCUGGUUUAGAGUAAAAUUUAUCGAAUGUUGCUCAAAUGCAAAACAAGGUUAUUCCAUUUUGCUCAAAAAUGAUUACUGCUUUAGUUAUGAUUCUAUAAAUAUGCUAAUAGCAAAAAUCAAGAAAAAUAAUAAUAGCUAUGUGCUUGGUCUGCAAUAUAGAAAUCAACAUGCUUUUGUUGCCAAUGAUGAUUUGACCUACUUGUGUCACAAAAGAUUUAGUCAUGAUAAUGUUGACUCUUUGAAGUUUAUGCAAAAGAGUAGAGAUGUGUUUGUUACUGAAUCAACAUUUUAGAAUUGGGAUAAAAAACAAGUUGAAGCAAAGAAAGCUCAUAAAAGAUGCAGCUGUUGCAGCUUCAAGUUCCCAAAGUGUUCCUAUUGAAAAAAUUCAAUUUGAUUUUGCAAAAUUUAGUGAUCUAAUUGCAAACACACCAGACACAAAAACCAAGUUAUUAACAGAAGAUUAUGAAAGGUGCAAUUUGGUCAUCAUUAAAUCAACAAACAAUGAAGAGCCUAUGACGUACAAGGAGUGGCAUCUUGCUAUGCAGGAUGGAGAGGCUGACAUGGUAUAUGAGUUGAAGAAGGCCUUGUAUGGGCUAGUGAAAUAUCAUUUUCUUUGUGAAGUUGAGAAGGAUGGUGAAUUUGGUUUAGUGUACUGUAAUUCUAAUGAUCAAGUUGUUGAUAUAAAAGCUCUAUCUUAUUGUAAAUUUGAAAAUUUGAUUGUUAAACUUGGUUGUUCAAUGAAAAACUCAAGGAGGAGUGUUAAAGAUUGAGUUUUUCAUGGAACAAGAAGCUGAUUUUUUUGUCAUUUCAACUCCAGAAUUAUCUGUUUUCUACUCUUUUUUAUGUUAACAGCUUUAGGUGGUAAGUUGUUAAAUAGGAAUGGAGUUUCAUAAUUUUUUGUUCAGCUCCAUACUUUUCUAAUUUAAUGAUGAUCUGCUUUAGAGUUGUUAGGAUUAGUUAGUGACUUAAUCUGUAAACUUUUCAUUUCACUUUGUAUAUAUAUAUAUAUAUGUAUCAAAUUAAUGAAAAAGUGCAGGUAAUUGAACACUUCCCCAGCAGUAGAAAACUCUCUUAUUUUUUCUGCAUUUUUCCCUCUUCAUUUUCUUCCAUAUUCUUCCAUUUUUUUCAGAAAUUUAAUCCACUCAUAUCUCAACACACUAGGUGAAAAACCACCUCUUGCAACUAGGUUUGUCCUAUAUAUAUAGAAAAAGGGAAAGAAUCAAUUUGAAAAGAACCCCCCUCACUUUUACCAAAACUUAAUUUUUGGAAUUUUUGAACAGUAAAAUCCUUUGCCUAUGAGCCACAAGUCACCAGAGUUUGACGCAUGCAGCUUCCGAACAUCUUUUCUAGUAAUUGAAUUGCAACAAGAGUCUGUUUAGUAACUUCUUAAAGCAAAGGUCUGGUUACUAACUUCCAAAUUAGUCUUGCAUGAUUAUUGAGAUUUUGAUUUCUUAACUUCUAAAUUUGCACUUUAGCAUAGUUUUUCUUCAUUUUCUUUAACACCUUUAGAGUGUGUAAAACACCUUCAACGUAAUUUAUCUUCAUUCUUUUUCACAAAUCUUAGGAUUGGUAAUCUAGAAAGAGUUUAUCAGCCUUAAAAAUAUUUAAGGGAGAGGCUUCUUUCAAACAAAUACUCUUUGUAAUAUUAUGAAUUGGUCGCAUUAGUACACUUAACUUUGUGUAGCUUAACAAUUUAAAAUGAUGCCAAAAGAGUUCAUAAUUUAACAACCACAACAAAAAGAAAAAUUAAAAGACACACAUAAUGAGCCAAUUAAUUAUGAACUCUUUUAUGUUAAUUAUGGUAUUGUUGGAUCGGAUUUUGUUUGCUUUGAGAUUUUUAUGUUAAUUAUGGUUUUUUUUAUUCUUGUUGAUUUAUUUCAGGAUCUGUUUUUUAAAUAUCUGUUGAAAUUAGUCCUGUUCUUUAGCUGACUUUUAGGAGAUUUAAAAUGAGUUUUCUGUUGCAAAAGUAGCUGAUAUUUUUAAAAGAUAUCAGCAGAUUUUUUAGUAUUUUUUUUGUAUUUCAGUUCUAUUGUAACUCUAUAUAUUUGAAGUUAGAAUUCAAUAAAAAUUAAACUUUCCAAAAAACAAACUUCUUGCUUCUGUUAAUCCACAAAUUAACAGUGGUAUCAGAACCCUUUUUUCUUAAGGGACUUGUGAGAAUUUUGGCUGAACGUUUACCAAAAAUAACAACCAAAUCUGCUUCUGAAAAAUACCAUUAAAACAAUGGAAGGUAAGAAUUCUUUUCAAGCCAUGGCUCCACCAGUGUUUGAUGGAGAAAACUACCAAGUGUGGGCAAUGAGAAUGGAAGCUUAUUUGGAUGCAUGUGCCUUGUCGGAAGCUGUAGAAGAAGAUUAGGAAGUGCCUACUCUAUCAGGAAAUUCAACCGUUGCUCAGAUCAAAAUCCAUAAGAAGAAGAAGAGAAGAAGAUCCAAAGCUAAAGCUUGUCUUUUUGCUGCAGUUUCUCCAACCAUUUUCAGCAGAAUAAUGACAUGUAGCUCAGCUAAAGCCAUAUGGAAUUUUCUCAAAAAUGAGUAUGAAGGAGAUGAAAGAAUUAGAGGAAUGAAGGUGCUGAAUCUGGUCAAAGAAUUUGAGAUGCAGCAUAUGAAGGAAGCAGAAACUGUUAAGGAUUAUUCAGAUAGGUUGAUUGACAUUGCAAAUAAGGUGAGAAUACUUGGAGCAGAACUCACCGAUAGUAGAAUAGUUCAAAAAAUACUUGUAUCAUUGCUUGAAAAAUUUGAAGCCACUAUUGCUUCUUUAGAAAACUCUAAAGAUCUGUCAAAAAUUAGUUUGGUAGAAUUGUUAAGUGCACUCCAGGCACAAGAACAAAGAAAGAUGAUGAGGCAAGAGGGAACUAUUGAAGGAGCUUUGCAAGCCAAGUUGCGGCUGAAUUCUGGAGAUAGAAGUAAGAAAUGGAAAGGAAAAAAUGGGAGUGUCAGCAACUCUGAAACUACAGCAGCUGAGAACAACACCAACGCUACAAAUAAAAAAGGAAAAUAUCCUCCUUGUCAGCAUUGUGGCAAAAAGAAUCAUCCAUACUACAAAUGUUGGAGAAAGUUAGAUAUGAAAUGCAGAAAAUGUCAAAAGCUUCGGCAUGCAGAGAUUAUUUGUAAGGAAAAGGAGAUGCAGCAGCAGGGAGACGCUCAAGUUGCAGAUCAACAAGAAGCAGAACAGCUCUUUGUUGCAUCUUGCUUUGCAUCCAGCAUUCUAAGUGAUAGCUGUCUCAUUGAUAGUGGUUGUACAAACCACAUGACAAGUGAUGAAAGUCUCUUUAGAGAACUUGAUAAAUCAGCAACAUCAAGGGUAAGAAUUGGAAAUGGAGAAUAUAUAUCAGUAAAACGAAAGGGGACUGUCGCAAUCGAAAGUUUCACAGGUACAAAACUUAUUUCUGAAGUUCUGUAUGUCUCUAAAAUUGAUCAAAAUUUACUCGGUGUUGCAAACUUGCUAGAGGAAGGGUUCAAGCUUUUAUUUGAAAAUAAAAUGUGUCUAAUCAUUGAUUCAAAUGAUCAAGAAUUAUUCAAAAUUAAGAUGUAGGGUAAAAGCUUUUCUUUGAAUCCAUUAGAGAAGGAGUAAGUGGCAUUUCCUAGUCAACACAGUAGUGCAGAAAUAUAGCACAAAAGGUUAGGACACUUUCAUCACGAAGGCUUGUUGUUUAUGCAAAGAAAAGAAAUGGUAAAAGGAACUUGGAGGAACAUGUUUCAAGCUGUAAGGCUUGUCUAUUUGGCAAGCAAAUUAGACUUCCAUUCAAAACAUCUACUUGGAGAGCUAGAGAGAAGUUGCAGCUGAUCUAUACUGAUGUUUGUGGACCACAAACAACUCCAUCACUAAAUGGCAGCAGGUAUUAUAUAGUUUUUAUUGAUUAUCUAACAAGAAUGUGUUGGAUUAAUUUUAUGAAGUUCAAGUCAGAAGUUGCUGGAAUCUUCCUAAAGUUCAAAAACUGGAUUGAAAACCAAAGUGGCUGCAAGAUUCAAGUAAUCAGAUCAGAUAAUAGAACUGAAUAUACAUCAGAAAAAUUCAAUUCCUUUUGUGAAGAAGCUGGAAUUGAGCACCAAUUCACUGUCCUUUACUCUCCACAACAAAAUGGGGUUAGUGAAAGGAAGAAUAGGGCAAUCAUGGAGAUGACUAGAUUUUUGCUGCAUGAGAAGAAUCUACCAAAGAAAUUCUGGGCAGAAGCAGAAAAUACUGCUGUUUUUUUGCUGAAUAGACUACCUACAAGAGCAUUGGAAAGAAAGAUUCCAUUUGAGGCUUGGCAUGGUGUUAAACUUAUUUUAAAAAAUCUUAAAAUAUUUGGAUGUCUUUGUUUUUCUUAUGUUCCACAGGUUAAAAGGGAUAAACUUGAUGAGAAGGCUGAACUUGGAAUAUUCAUUGAUUAUAGUUUGGUUUCGAAAGCCUACAAAAUUUUUCAACCUUAGUCCGUGAUGAUUGUGAUAAGCAGAGAUGUUCAAUUCCUUGAACGUGAGCAAUGAGACUGGAAUGAGGAAUCUCAAAUCAAACAUCAUAUCUUGCAAUUGGAUCCAGAUGAGUUAGAGGACGAACAAUCUGUAAGGAGAACAAGAUAACUUUCAGAUAUUUAUAAAAAAUGUAAUGUUGCUGUUUUUGAGCAUGCAGGAUAUGAUAAAGCAAAAACAGAUCAAAAAUGGAUAGAUGCAACGAAGGAGGAGUUGGCAAUAAUUUAAAAGAACUAGACUUGAAAGCUAGUGGAGAGGCCCCAAGAUAGAAAGGUAAUUGGGGUUAAAUGGGUAUUUAGGACAAAACUAAAUCCUGAUGGUUCAAUAAACAAACACAAAGCAAGACUGGUUGUAAAAGGUUAUGCACAAGUUUGGGGUGUAGAUUUUUCUGAAACUUUUGCGCCAGUAGCCAAAUUGGAUAGCAUUAGAAUGUUUUUGGCUUUAACAACACAAAAGGGAUGGAAGACCUUUCAAAUGGAUGUGAAGGGUUCCUUCUUGAAUGGUAUACUCCAAAAAAAAAUUUAUGUUGAGCAGCCACAAGGUUUCAGUUUACUAAAAAAUGAAGAAAAAGUCUAUUUAUUGAAGAAAGCUCUCCACAGAUUGAAACAGGCUCCUAGAGCUUGGUACAACAAGAUAGAUGAACAUUUGCUCAACUUUGGCUUUGAAAAGAGUUUAAGUGAAUCAACUCUUUAUGUCAAGAGAGUUGGCUGUAACAUAGUUAUCAUUUCUCUUUAUGUAGAUAAUUUACUUGUUACUGGAAAUAAUGUUGUACAAGUUGAAGAAUUCAAGGAGAUGAUGAAGGUCUUUGAGAUGAUAGACCUUAGAGAGAUGACAUAUUUUUUGGGUAUGGAGAUUAAACAAAUGCAAAAUGAAGUCUUCAUUUGCCACAAGAAAUAUCUGAAGGAGAUUCUAAAAAGGUUUAAAAUGAAAGAAUGCAAGAGUGUGAAGACUCCUAUGAAUAAAAAGGAGAAGCUGCAUAAAGAAGAUGAAUCUUAACUUGUUGAUGAAGGAAUAUACAAAAGCUUAAUUGGAUGUUUAAUGUAUCUCACAGCAACAAGGCCAGAUAUCUUAUUUUCUGUGAGCAUUUUAUUUAGAUUUUUGAAUUCUGCUAGAGAGUUGCAUAUGAUGGCUAUUAAAAGAAUGCUUAAUUGAAGUUUGGAUAUGAGAUCCAAACUUGUUUUGUACUUUAUUAAUGAGGGGAAGGAUUCACUAAUUUUCUUUUUGAGCCAACAAGUUUGUUGGAUAUCUAAUAACAACGCUUGUUUUAUACUUUAAUAAUUUUUUUUUGUUUUCUAUGUUUAAAUAAUUUGUUCCAUUUCUAAUUCUUUUUCCAUGAAAAAUUUUGUACAAUUGGAGUAUGUUAUUAUUAAUUAAAAACUUAACAAAAAUUGUAGUGUUAGUUAAAUAUUGUUAGUAAAAAGUUAGAAUGACCCAAAAUAAAUCACUUUGUCAAGUAAAAAUAAGAUUAAAAAAAAGCUGAUGAUGAAAACUAUAAAAUAAAAUGAAUAGAAGAUGGCUCCAUGUGCUGCAUACUGAUGGAGUCUGUGUUAAGAAUGGAUCCCAAUGGGUUUUUCUAUUUUUUUUUUUUUGACUUUGACCAUGUGGACAGCCAUUGCCAAAUUAAUGUCAACUACAAAAAUGUGACAAGUAUAAAUAAAAGCAACGAAGGAGACGCCAAAGCUAUAAAAAUAAAACGAAUAGGAAAUGUGAAAACUAUAAAUAAACAACUGCCCAAUCAUUUUUUCAAGUAAAUUUGUCCGGUCAUUUGUGCACACCUCUGAACCCAGAAUUUUAUCAUGCAAGAAACACAGAUGGGUUGGCUACUCUAAUAUAUAUUGGUCUUGGGGUUUGGGUAUGCAGCAUGUUUCCGAUCUGAUUCCAUUAAAUUACCUUCACAUCACCAUUGUGAGGUCAGGCCUGUACUGGUGAAAUAGGCUAUACUAGCAGAUCAAGUAGUUGUCUUCCGUCAAGGUAUGUUCUUGCACUCUUUGGAUUUGUUUGUUUCCUCGGAAAAUAAGCUUGACUUUCCUUCUCCUCAGGCUAAUCCGGGUGCCCCAAGGAUCUUUCCUUGGUUACCAUUUGAAGUUUUCUUCGUUGCUUCCGUGUUUUUUACCUGCACCACUCUAGUUCUUGUUCACCGUGCUCCGUUUUUCAUUUAUCAAUUCUGAUUUUAGUAAAGUUUCCAUUUGUUUGGAUUGUGAGAUUGGCUUUGGAUGUGAUCUUUUUCAAUUAUCUCCAUGACAUAAUUUUGGGUUUAUCUGUAAAUUUGUUUUAUGGCUAAAAUCUAAUUUAAUCAAUCUUGAAUAUCAUUUUUAAUCAUGUUUAGGCGGAUAUUUAUGUCGAAUACGAAGUGGAGUGAGAGCUACAAUCAGCACAGUAUAUUUUACGUUGAAAAAGAAAAUUAUAUAGCUUUGGUAUAUCUACCUUAUUGCUCUAUUUCUAGUUCUGAUAUGAGUUUGAGAUACAGUUUUAAGAUAAUAAUACGUCACCAAAGGCAUAUACUCACAAACACACAUAAACAUACAAAAAAGUCUUGGAUACACAUUAUUGUGUGCUAUGGGUUAUAGGCUAACAUAAACUAUUAUAGACACUUACAGUUGGCAAAAAAUCAGUAUUUUACGAGUUAAUGCGUAGUAAUUUUCUUUUAUAGUUUUCUUUUAUCUUUAUUGCUCAGAUUCCAGUUUAGUGUUAUUUUAAAUUAUGUAUUAUCAAAUUAACAAAUUUGUGGGGAGAAGCUGUAAAAAUAAUUUGUUAUUGUAAAAAGGGAUGGAACACUUGUGCCAUGGUAGUCCAUUGAUGCUAACGGAGAUGGCUAUUGAAGAUGAAGUCUUGUGUCAAGGAUGUGGGAAGACCAUUUCAGGUCAGAGCUACGGUUGCAGUGAGCAUAAGUUUUAUCUGCAUAAAUCCUGUGCUGAGCUUCCCUUAAAGAUUAAGAGCAUCUUCCACUUAAAGUCGCCUUACUCUGCAUAAGGAUUACACUAAGGAUAGUGAAAAAAGUUGUAUAUGUUAUUGUUGUAAGAAACAUAUACCAGGUUUCAGAUACAGUUGUGACAAUUGUNNNNNNNNNNNNNNNNNNNNNNNNNNNNNNNNNNNNNNNNNNNNNNNNNNNNNNNNNNNNNNNNNNNNNNNNNNNNNNNNNNNNNNNNNNNNNNNNNNNNNNNNNNNNNNNNNNNNNNNNNNNNNNNNNNNNNNNNNNNNNNNNNNNNNNNNNNNNNNNNNNNNNNNNNNNNNNNNNNNNNNNNNNNNNNNNNNNNNNNNNNNNNNAAAGUAAUCAACUUCCGUCAUCCAUGUCCUAUGCUCCUGCGCAAGCUUCCCCCCAUACAUCUGUGGUAUUUGUAACCAAAUGCGUUCAGGUGUUGUAUUCCGAUGCGAGAAGUGUGACUUAAAUAUGGAUAUUGAAUGUGUUCUCCGUCACAAGACGAUUAAUCAUUUUAGCCAUGGACACCCAUUGACACUUUCUCACAAGAAAGAUGAUGAUGGUGCUUGCUGCAGAGCUUGUGGGAAGAAAUGCUCGGGUGCCACCUACUCUUGCAAUAGAUGCAGCUUUUGUUUACACGAAUCUUGCGGGGAAUUACAACGAGAGAUUCAUCAUGAACUUCAUGAACACCCUCUUACUCUCUUUGAUAAAUCAUUUCGAUGCGAUGCAUGCUUAGUGGAGUCCAAUGGUUUCACCUACAACUGCUCAUCGUGCAACUUCAAUCUCCAUGUUGAGUGCACUUCCUUGGCACCUUCUAUUAAAUAUGAAGGUCAUGAUGAGCAUCUUCUUACUUUUGUAAGUCAUGUUUAUGGGAAGCCUCCUUGCCAUGUGUGUGAUUCUAAAUAUUCUUGGGAUUAUAAAUAUUCUGGUGAUCCUAAAUAUUCUAAUAUUUCUAAAUAUUGUGGGGAUUCCUAUUUACGCUGUGUGAAGUGUGAUUUUAAUGUCCACCUCAUGUGUGUUCCGCUCCCUUGUGUAAUUGAACAUCCUUGCCACACUGAUCCUCUUGUUCUUAAAGAUUGUCAUAUAGACGAUGCUUCUGAAGGUCAAGAGUAUAUUUGCGACGUUCUUGAUUGUGAGCUGGAAAGAGAUCCUCGAGAAUGUGUUUAUUAUUGUGAAGAAUGUGACUUUGUAGCUCAGCUUGGUUGUGUUUUGGGAGAGGUAAUUACCGUCAUUAGUAAUUAUCAUCUAUCUCACUUCAUAUAUGCUUUUUGUUUAUGAUUAAAAGUAUGGGGGAAUAAUUUUCGUACAUGUUUGUCUGCCUUGCAGCUCUUGCCUCUAUUACAAGGAAAGUGUGGAAACGUGGAAUGGAAAAAAGUUGACAGAGAUGUUGCAGUUAAAUUACUGGAAAGAAAAUUCAUUUCCUUCAAUGACAUACUAAACUCUUUUGAUGAAGAUGAUAAGAAGGAAAUGGAUCAUGUUUUAUCAUCUUUUCGCAGGGAGCGUGACAUAAUCUUUAACAAUUCACCUGAGGACCAUUUGUCAAACUACGCCAAUAAUUUCUUUAAAUAUCAUUCAUAUUUGGACGAGGCUUUCUUCAGGUUUGCAGGCACAAUUGAGCCUAGAAUACCACUUGAGCUCACAAUCAAUGGAUUAGAGAUUGUCAAAGUUGGAAAUCAUGAGGUCACAAAACAAUUAAAACCUGUCUUAGAAAAGUUGAUUGAAAAAUAUGGUGAUUUCACCGCUGACUCCACUUUAAAAAGGCCCAAUGUCAAGACAUAUCACCUGGUUAUGUUUUGCCAUGUCGUACAUAGCAUGUGCAACACUAAGGUUAUGAAUAUCAAUGCAGAUUUACUGAGACAAUGGUGGAUUAACUGCAAAUUAGCACAGCGUGCUGGAUUCAAAAUUCAAUUUGCCUUUGAAAGUCUGAACAAAGUAGCAUAUGUUCGGUUUACCCUUGUAUCUGAAUUACAUGCAGGUGCCAUCCUUGAUCAAUAUGAUGAUCGAAUCACAGAGUAUUCUAAUCGGAUUAUGGAAUGCAGAAAACAAUUAGAGGAACUCAAAGAAAAGCGUGUGCAACAUGUAUCAUCUACUAGAUUCGCAGAAUCAAGUCAAGCGGAGGGAUUCUUGCGCGAAGCUUUGGCCUUGAGAUUGAAUACAGCAAUGGCUAAUAUGUUGUAAUCUAUGCAGACACCUGAAUUACUUUCAUGUUUAAGCAUUCAUAAUUCAAUUGCAUCCUUGUCAGGUCUUUUGAUUUGUUGUCCUUAUGAUGUAACUGGCAAUAAACAAGUUUCUGAGUUUAUCAAGACAAGAAAGCCUUACUUCGUCUUGCUUCCCAAAAAAUUCAUUUAAAACUAGAAAUUGAUUCUAAUUAGUUCAGAAAUCAGUUAUUAAUUUCAGGUAAUUGAUUGUGAUCACUUUUGCCAUAAUCCUACCUAUAUAUCUACAUUGAGUUAUUCAAGAUGAGAAUUUGUACAGAUGACUAGAAUGGGCGAGUAGUAACAGCUUGAAAUACAUGAAGUACUAAGCAAUUAUUUUGGCUCCUACGAAAUACAAACCUCUAUUCAAAUUUGGAAAGAAAAAGAAAACGAAAAAUGAACUAAAAAAUUAACAAAGACGUACUUAAGAAAUUAGCCCAAGUUCAUUAGCAGCUUAAGAAAUUUUUGUCUCCAUGUCCAUAUCUCUGACAUCCGCAGGAAGAAAAAGAAUAGCGUCCAGUGUCUACUUCAAAGAAAAUCAACUAUCACUUUUUUAAACUAAGUUCUAAUGGAGUGCCUUCUAAUGCGACAGAGACACCUAAAAGAACUAGAUAAACGUUUAAUAUAUCGUUAAUAAUAAUUAUCGCCUAUGUAAGAAAUGCAAAAAGAAAAUGCUUUUUAAGUAUUCCCUUUUACCCUAAGAUGACCCAGAUGCAAUUCUAGAAUCAUAUACGAAAUAUAACAUCUGGAAAGCGCAGUUACACUGGCACCAAUAACAAGUACCAAAUACACUACCAAUACAAAUUAAUCCCUUAAAAACUUGAAGAAAAAGUACUCAAUUCAAGCAACUCAAGCAGACAUUCAGAACAACUAAUACGUAAAGUAUACCAAUAUAAACAUAUGCAUAAUCCAGAAUUUGAAUUGGCAGUACCAGAGUUGGAGUCGGCGAGCCCGCUGAGCUUUACAGGUUCCUGUGAGGCGGGCUCCAAAAUAAGAGUUCGGCAACUUUGAUACUGACACCCAUGAGAAUCAUCAGGCAACUGAGGAUUUGAAUAGUGUGAUUUUAAGAAUCCAAAUACAAAGUGUUGAUUGAGAUUCUUCUUUCUGCACAUGGUAAGGACGACGUUUUGGCCCAUCGACCUUGUUAUGGCCCUUAAUGAUAGCAUUUUCACUUGAAAAAUAGGAAGCGCAACAAACAGCAUAUCGGAUAUUUGUGUGCAAGGCGUGAGGCCGAGGAAACGACCAUCCACGGUCCACCAACGAACCACUGCAUGAGAUAGAACAAACGACGUUAACAGGUUGGGAAGCCACAGAGCGGGGAGCACAGCCAGGUGCUCCCAAUCAUUGGGUCAGUCGCAAGCAGACAGGGAAGAUUGGGGAUUUAGCUGCGUUGGGUUGCUUUUUUAUUAUCAUUGUUAUUUGAAUUGGCUGCUGCGUUGAUCGGGCUUCGUCCCCAAGUAGCCUGAAAUUGAAAAGGCAGUGAUCCAUCCAUGGUCCUCUAGCAACGGUCAGGUAGAUAAACUCUACCCUGUGUUGGCUUAGAAACAGUGCAUUUAAAAAUUUUAUUUUGAUGAUUAAAAAGGGAUAGAUUAGAGAUGAAUAUUUAUUAAAAUUUAUUGAAAAAUUUUAAGUAUAUUCAUGAAUUUCUUUUUAGGAGCUAAAAAUAGAAUGAGAUAUUGUGGUGUUUAUUAAACUUUAUUUAAUUUUUUUAGAAUAUACUUAUCAUUUUUUGCAUCUGCGCGUCCUUACUUAGUAUAUUCAUGAAUUU
RNAcentral lists this long non-coding RNA (12659 nucleotides) under Carica papaya (papaya). RNAcentral's name for it is "long non-coding RNA (CPAP_LNC002864)". Lineage: Eukaryota; Viridiplantae; Streptophyta; Magnoliopsida; Brassicales; Caricaceae. The record is from RNAcentral.